Epinephelus lanceolatus (giant grouper) is the source of this 1228-nucleotide non-coding RNA. NCBI's taxonomy places the organism in Eukaryota, Metazoa, Chordata, Actinopteri, Perciformes, Serranidae. The record is from RefSeq and is a predicted model, not a curated record.
CAUUGAAUGAGAAGGUGUGUCCAAACUUUUGGCCUGUACUGUAUAUAUAGUGACAACCCCUCCGCUCCACUAGUUGUCCCUGCCCUUUUCUGCUGUGUUUUCUCUCUUGCAGGAAGCAGGGCGGAGGGUGUCGCCAGCUUGAUCAGCUGAUGGGAUCAUCAGCCUGAUGAGCCACUCCUGUGUGGGCUCUUAAAAGCUCCCCUCCUGCCUGUCAUCUCUCUCUUGCUGGUCUGGUCAGAGGGGCGGGCUGCUGCUGUUUGUUUUGUUGCUCUCUCCCUACAUUUUCACACAUCCACACAUGCUGACACUACUGAUUACUGACUUUCACGUUUACCUUAGUUUGAUUAUCUUUUGUAAAUAAAUACUUUUUUUUUUUUUUGCAUGGUAAAACUCGUCUUGUCUCCCAUCUUUGUCACUGCCUCAGAGCCGGGCUGUGACAAAUGGGAGCUUGUCAAAACUCGGUGACGUCAGAGAUCAGCUGUAGCUGUAGUAAGUGAUGCGCCUUGUUUUUGUGAAUGAGUUGCACAGUCUGUGUUUUGUUUGGGAGACGUUUGACGAGUGUGGUAAGUCUGUUUGUCAUUUUGGUUAAGCAGCGUUAAGAAGUCUGUUUGUUCUGAGGAGAGUGUUUUGUCGCCAGGCUGUGUUGUGUGUUUUUUUGGUUUUGUUUUUUUUUUGUGUGCGCUGAGUUUGUUUGGUCCUGUGCACAGCAGUAGUAAGUCGCUGUUGUUCUGUCCCUGUAGGGCUUAAGAGCGAGUUCCCUUUGGAGUUUGUUUGGGGGGUGUUAGUGUGGCAUGAAAGUGGCUGGAGCAAAUUGUCUCGGGAGCACAUCCGGAGCUGCAGUGUCUCCUGGAUUACGGCUGUCAGGCAGGUUGUUUGUUUUCCUUCCCCUCCCCCCUCACUCUGCACUCUGCCAGCCCAGCAAUCAUCUACACCUGUUCCUGCCUCUGGUAUCUCACACACCUGAUCCUAAUCUCAUUAUCACCCAACCACUACAAGAGCUGACUCUGACCUGCAGUCACUGCCGAAUUGUCUUCAAAACACGAAAGCCAACCUGCCAGCCCUGCCAGACAUUCGGACCACAAGCCUGCCAGCAGCCCUCCUAUCCAGAACCAUUUAUCCGCUUCAACCGGCUUCCACACCAUUCCCUCCAUUCAUCCCUUAUUGAACUUCUGUAAUAAAGACUGUUAACCUGCCAUUGUCUGACUCUUGGUUCUUCUGCACUAGCUGU